Molecule: non-coding RNA, 30 nt
Filed under: Rattus norvegicus (Norway rat)
Lineage: Eukaryota; Metazoa; Chordata; Mammalia; Rodentia; Muridae
Source: RNAcentral
UCUAAAUGUCAAUUGUGUGCCCAUGCAUCU